RNAcentral lists this transfer RNA (58 nucleotides) under Apaloderma vittatum (bar-tailed trogon). It matches the Rfam family "tRNA", at positions 8 to 63 of the family's 71-position model. From Rfam's summary of the family: Transfer RNA (tRNA) molecules are approximately 80 nucleotides in length. Their secondary structure includes four short double-helical elements and three loops (D, anti-codon, and T loops). Lineage: Eukaryota; Metazoa; Chordata; Aves; Trogoniformes; Trogonidae. The record is from Rfam by way of RNAcentral.
UAGCUCAGUCAGUUGAGCGUGGCGCUAACCACGCCAAGGUCAUGGGUUCGAUUCCCGU